Molecule: ribosomal RNA, 508 nt
Filed under: uncultured bacterium
Lineage: Bacteria
Description: bacterial SSU rRNA
Rfam family: Bacterial small subunit ribosomal RNA
Source: RNAcentral
UUGAUCAUGGCGUCAGGACGAACGCUGGCGGCGUGCUUAACACAUGCAAGUCGAACGAAGCAGCAGUGAAGGAGGCUUCGGCCAAUGGAACUGUUGACUUAGUGGCGGACGGGUGAGUAACGCGUGAGCAACCUGCCUUUCAGAGGGGGAUAACGUUUGGAAACGAACGCUAAUACCGCAUGACAUAACGGUAUCGCAUGGUAUUGUUAUCAAAGGAGCAAUCCGCUGAGAGAUGGGCUCGCGUCCGAUUAGAUAGUUGGUGGGGUAACGGCCUACCAAGUCGACGAUCGGUAGCCGGACUGAGAGGUUGAACGGCCACAUUGGGACUGAGACACGGCCCAGACUCCUACGGGAGGCAGCAGUGGGGAAUAUUGCACAAUGGGCGCAAGCCUGAUGCAGCAACGCCGCGUGAGGGAAGACGGUUUUCGGAUUGUAAACCUCUGUCCUUGGUGAAGAUAAUGACGGUAGCCGAGGAGGAAGCCACGGCUAACUACGUGCCAGCAGCCGC